Molecule: ribosomal RNA, 438 nt
Filed under: uncultured bacterium
Lineage: Bacteria
Description: bacterial SSU rRNA
Rfam family: Bacterial small subunit ribosomal RNA
Source: RNAcentral
GAAGCUCGGUAGAUUGAAGGAACGGAAAGACGGCGGACGGGUGGAGUAACGCGUAGGUAACCUGCCUUGACAGAGGGACAGCCUCGGGAAACCGUGAUUAAUACCUCAUAACGCCGGAGUAGCACAUGCCACACCGGCCAAAGAUUUAUCGGUCAAAGAUGGACCUGCGUCUGAUUAGCCAGUUGGCGGGGUAACGGCCCACCAAAGCGACGAUCAGUAGCCGACCUGAGAGGGUGAUCGGCCACAUUGGAACUGAGACACGGUCCAAACUCCUACGGGAGGCAGCAGUGGGGGAUAUUGCACAAUGGGCGCAAGCCUGAUGCAAGCAACGCCGCGUGAGCGAAGAAGGUCUUCGGAUCGUAAAGCUCUGUCCAGAGGGACGAAGAAAGUGACGGUACCUCUGGAGGAAGCCCCGGCUAACUACGUGCCAGCCGCUGC